UCCACUUUAAAUCCAAAUUCCAAUCCCUCCACCGCUCCACCACACACUCACUCUCUCUCUCUCUCUCUCUCUCUCUCUCUCUCUCUAUAAAGAUGUCUUCUUCUUUUGGAUCUCUGAUCUGAUAGAGACUGAGAGACCAAUAGUAGGGUCGUCAAAAACUCACAAUAUAUACAUAUAUGGGUUUGAGAGUCGUUUACGGGCUGCUGUUCCUGUCCUUAUCGUGUGCCUGCAUCAUGCUCAUUCACCUCAUGCUCCACCCAGUAUUCUACUACACCACCUGAGAUACUCUCAGAAGUGACAAGUUGGAGCUGCAGGAACGCAUGGAAACAUUGAUUUGCCAAGGAGAAGAGAAACGAGAAAUGUGCCAGAAUUAUGUGAUCGAAAAGCACCAAUCAUAAAAACUGCAACAUCAUCAUGUGUCUUCUAAAAAGUUAUGUACUGCUUACCAUGUUAAGACGGUUAUAGUAUAUGUAUUAUAAAAUUUCAAAAUGUAUGUACGUCCAUGUAUAAAUGUAUAUACUGUAUAGUAAGUUGGUGUUUUAAGAGAA
Pyrus x bretschneideri (Chinese white pear) is the source of this 548-nucleotide long non-coding RNA. RefSeq lists it as uncharacterized. The transcript is spliced from 2 exons. The record is from RefSeq and is a predicted model, not a curated record. Lineage: Eukaryota; Viridiplantae; Streptophyta; Magnoliopsida; Rosales; Rosaceae.